This 577-nucleotide ribosomal RNA is filed under the name Stemphylium sp. AU52. Its description in RNAcentral is "eukaryotic LSU rRNA". The stretch from base 171 to 324 matches the Rfam family "5.8S ribosomal RNA". The record is from RNAcentral. Lineage: Eukaryota; Fungi; Ascomycota; Dothideomycetes; Pleosporales; Pleosporaceae.
GCGGGGGGCGGGGGUGGGACUCAUCUCGGUGAGGGCCCAGCUUGUCUGAAUUAUUCACCCAUGUCUUUUGCGCACUUCUUGUUUCCUGGGCGGGUUCGCCCGCCACCAGGACCCAACCAUAAACCUUUUUUGUAAUUGCAAUCAGCGUCAGUACACAAUGUAAUUAUUACAACUUUCAACAACGGAUCUCUUGGUUCUGGCAUCGAUGAAGAACGCAGCGAAAUGCGAUACGUAGUGUGAAUUGCAGAAUUCAGUGAAUCAUCGAAUCUUUGAACGCACAUUGCGCCCUUUGGUAUUCCAAAGGGCAUGCCUGUUCGAGCGUCAUUUGUACCCUCAAGCUUUGCUUGGUGUUGGGCGUCUUUUUGUCUCUCGCGAGACUCGCCUUAAAAUGAUUGGCAGCCGACCUACUGGUUUCGGAGCGCAGCACAAUUCUUGCACUUUGAAUCAGCCCUGGUUGAGCAUCCAUCAAGACCACAUUUUUUUAACUUUUGACCUCGGAUCAGGUAGGGAUACCCGCUGAACUUAAGCAUAUCAAUAAGGCCGGAGGAAGAUUCCGCAGGUUCCCCUACGGAAAGGC